RNAcentral lists this transfer RNA (77 nucleotides) under Chloroflexota bacterium. Its description in RNAcentral is "tRNA-Val". It matches the Rfam family "tRNA". From Rfam's summary of the family: Transfer RNA (tRNA) molecules are approximately 80 nucleotides in length. The record is from RNAcentral. RNAcentral also lists the same sequence under 1 other name. Lineage: Bacteria; Bacillati; Chloroflexota.
GGGCGGUUAGCUCAGUUGGCUAGAGCGCGUCGUUGACAUCGACGAGGUCACAGGUUCAAGCCCUGUAUCGCCCACCA